UGGGGAAUAUUGGACAAUGGGGGCAACCCUGAUCCAGCCAUGCCGCGUGAGUGAUGAAGGCCUUCGGGUUGUAAAGCUCUUUUGGCGGGGACGAUGAUGACGGUACCCGCAGAAUAAGCCCCGGCUAACUUCGUGCCAGCAGCCGCGGUAAGACGAAGGGGGCUAGCGUUGUUCGGAAUUACUGGGCGUAAAGCGAGUGUAGGCGGUUGCCGUAGUCAGGUGUGAAAGCCUUGAGCUCAACUCAAGAAAUGCACUUGAUACUGGGUGACUAGAGGACCGGAGAGGAUAGUGGAAUUCCCAGUGUAGUGGUGAAAUACGUAGAGAUUGGGAAGAACACCAGUGGCGAAGGCGGCUAUCUGGACGGUUACUGACGCUAAGACUCGAAAGCGUGGGGAGCAAACAGGAUUAGAUACCCUGGUAGUCCACGCCGUAAACGAUGGGUGCUAGACGUUGGCGAGCUUGCUCGUCAGUGUCGCAGCUAACGCGUUAAGCACCCGCCUGGGGAGUACGGCCGCAAGGUUGAAACUCAAAUGAA
Molecule: ribosomal RNA, 535 nt
Filed under: uncultured bacterium
Lineage: Bacteria
Description: partial 16S ribosomal RNA
Rfam family: Bacterial small subunit ribosomal RNA
Source: RNAcentral